This 483-nucleotide ribosomal RNA is filed under the name uncultured bacterium. RNAcentral's name for it is "partial 16S ribosomal RNA". It matches the Rfam family "Bacterial small subunit ribosomal RNA", at positions 30 to 507 of the family's 1533-position model. The record is from RNAcentral.
UUGAACGCUGGCGGCAGGCCUAACACAUGCAAGUCGCGCGGAUGAAGGGAGCUUGCUCCUGGAUUCAGCGGCGGACGGGUGAGUGAUGCCUAGGAAUCUGCCUGGUAGUGGGGGAUAACGUCCGGAAACGGGCGCUAAUACCGCAUACGUCCUGAGGGAGAAAGUGGGGGAUCUUCGGACCUCACGCUAUCAGAUGAGCCUAGGUCGGAUUAGCUAGUUGGUGGGGUAAAGGCCUACCAAGGCGACGAUCCGUAACUGGUCUGAGAGGAUGAUCAGUCACACUGGAACUGAGACACGGUCCAGACUCCUACGGGAGGCAGCAGUGGGGAAUAUUGGACAAUGGGCGAAAGCCUGAUCCAGCCAUGCCGCGUGUGUGAAGAAGGUCUUCGGAUUGUAAAGCACUUUAAGUUGGGAGGAAGGGCAGUAAGUUAAUACCUUGCUGUUUUGACGUUACCAACAGAAUAAGCACCGGCUAACUUCGUG